UAUUCAAUUUUCCACGAACCUAUAAAACAGCACUCAAAACGGUGAUAACUUUUUGCACGUGUAA
Molecule: non-coding RNA, 64 nt
Organism: Caenorhabditis elegans
Lineage: Eukaryota; Metazoa; Nematoda; Chromadorea; Rhabditida; Rhabditidae
Source: Ensembl